AGUGCUUCUCCGUGGGUGCAAAGAUCUCCGUGCCUCUACAGAACCACCGCGGGCAGAGUAGCAGUCACGGUGAAUGAACAUCUCCGACAUGGCACACGUCACCUCGUGUUUUCCAUCAGUUAGAGCUACCCUCGCUAGCUACCUUCAAGGCCCAGUCCAGAAGGGACUAUCUGCCCAGCCUGGUUCCUGUCAGCGUACCUUCCUGUGAGUCCUCAAAGCCCAUACUAUAUUCCCAAGGUGCUGGGAUUACAAGCAUGACCACUACAUCCAUCUCUGUGAAGGCAUUUCUUAAGGGGCAGCUGUGGUCUCCCAGGAAAGAAGAGGAGGCCUAGAGGGAGAAGGCUCUCCCAAGACCACCUGGGAGCUGGAGGAGUUACUGGAGUGUGAUUCACAUGGGCUGAGUUCUGUACAUGCCAAGGAGCUGCAUACGUAUUUGUGACAUCACUGCUGUGGAUGGUGUCCAAGCUGGUGUGGACACAGCAGAACUGAGUUCUUGCUUGCCAGAGAUCAUGGUUUGGGGAGGAGAUGCGGUGACACCAAUAAGGCAGUGACUGAGGGGGCCAGGGAGGGCUGGAUGGUCCAGUGGGGAGAGUGGAUAGCAGGGAGCUCUGCCUUGGACUGGAGGCAGCUUGGGGAGCUCAGCAGAGAGGUUUAAAGAAAAGAAGGGGGAGAUAGAAAGACCUGGAGGGGAGAGGAGCUCCACAAGGAGAGAAACAGAACCAAAAAAUCUGGGCACAGGGGUCUUUUCUGAGACUGAUACUCCAACCAAGGGCCAUGCAUGGAGAUAACCUAGAACCCCUGCACAGGUGUAGCCCGUGGCAGCUCAGUCUCCAAAUGGGCUCUCCAGUAAGGAGAACAGGGGCUGUCUCUGACAUGAAUUCAGUGGCUGGCCCUUUGAUCAUCUCUACCUGAGGGGGGUGGGCAGCAGUACUAGCCCACAGAGGAAGACAAUGCAGACAGACCUGAUGAGACCUGAUAGGCUAGGGUCAGAUGGAGGGUGGGGAGGUCCUCCCCUAUCAGUGGACUGGGGAAGAGGCAUGGGAGGAGAAGAGGGAGGGAGGGUGAGAUUGGGAGGAGACAAGGGAGGGGGCUACAGCUGGGAUACAAAGUGAACAAAUCGUAAUAAAUA
This is a long non-coding RNA of Meriones unguiculatus (Mongolian gerbil), 1129 nucleotides long. RefSeq lists it as uncharacterized. Lineage: Eukaryota; Metazoa; Chordata; Mammalia; Rodentia; Muridae. The transcript is spliced from 3 exons. The record is from RefSeq and is a predicted model, not a curated record.